Molecule: long non-coding RNA, 240 nt
Filed under: Setaria viridis
Lineage: Eukaryota; Viridiplantae; Streptophyta; Magnoliopsida; Poales; Poaceae
Description: long non-coding RNA (SVIR_LNC005995)
Source: RNAcentral
GGAUUUGAAGAUAAAUCAUGCCAAAGUUAGCUAAAAAUCUGGAAUUCCAGACUUAGCCAAAAUCGGCCGAAGAGGCAGGAUUUCAGGGACUUAGCGAUGUUUGAGUCGAUUUUUGGGCAGCUUCCGAGUCGAAUUAGACCAAGGUGUUAUUGAAAGAGUUGUUCUACAAACUGAGGAAUUCAACUUUUAUUUAGAGUAUUGCUUGAGCUUAGUUCAGAAAAUUGGAGGAACACCCUCACC